RNAcentral lists this transfer RNA (67 nucleotides) under Chaetoceros neogracilis. It matches the Rfam family "tRNA". From Rfam's summary of the family: Transfer RNA (tRNA) molecules are approximately 80 nucleotides in length. Their secondary structure includes four short double-helical elements and three loops (D, anti-codon, and T loops). RNAcentral also lists the same sequence under 1 other name. The record is from RNAcentral. Lineage: Eukaryota; Bacillariophyta; Thalassiosirophyceae; Chaetocerotales; Chaetocerotaceae.
CGGUGUAGCUCAGUGGUAGAGCGCUUCCUUGGUAAGGAAGAGGUCACGAGUUCAAUUCUCGUCAUUG